GAAGAGGGAAACAACCCAGACCGCCAGCUAAGGUCCCAAAGUCAUGGUUAAGUGGGAAACGAUGUGGGAAGGCCCAGACAGCCAGGAUGUUGGCUUAGAAGCAGCCAUCAUUUAAAGAAAGCGUAAUAGCUCACUGGUCGAGUCGGCCUGCGCGGAAGAUGUAACGGGGCUAAACCAUGCACCGAAGCUGCGGCAGCGACGCUUAUGCGUUGUUGGGUAGGGGAGCGUUCUGUAAGCCUGUGAAGGUGUACUGUGAGGUAUGCUGGAGGUAUCAGAAGUGCGAAUGCUGACAUAAGUAACGAUAAAGCGGGUGAAAAGCCCGCUCGCCGGAAGACCAAGGGUUCCUGUCCAACGUUAAUCGGGGCAGGGUGAGUCGACCCCUAAGGCGAGGCCGAAAGGCGUAGUCGAUGGGAAACAGGUUAAUAUUCCUGUACUUGGUGUUACUGCGAAGGGGGGACGGAGAAGGCUAUGUUGGCCGGGCGACGGUUGUCCCGGUUUAAGCGUGUAGGCUGGUUUUCCAGGCAAAUCCGGAAAAUCAAGGCUGAGGCGUGAUGACGAGGCACUACGGUGCUGAAGCAACAAAUGCCCUGCUUCCAGGAAAA
This 602-nucleotide ribosomal RNA is filed under the name Escherichia coli. Its description in RNAcentral is "partial 23S ribosomal RNA". It matches the Rfam family "Bacterial large subunit ribosomal RNA", at positions 1012 to 1616 of the family's 2925-position model. Lineage: Bacteria; Pseudomonadati; Pseudomonadota; Gammaproteobacteria; Enterobacterales; Enterobacteriaceae. The record is from RNAcentral.